CUGAGCCACAGAGCCAGACUCCAUCUCAAAAAAACAAAAAAACAAAACAAAAAAAACCAUGUCCAAGAAAGCACAACCAUGAGAGGCAGGGCAGGAUUUAUUGUUUAUUAUCAUUAUUAUUUUUUGUUUUCUUUCUGUUUAUUUGUUUUUGUUUAGGGCAGGAUUUAGAUCCAAAACCUAAGCCCUGCACACCAGAAAAUCCGACUCCUUGUGCCCCUCCCACACCUACUCAGGGCAAGAAGGCCACAGGGCCACACCCCCAGAUGCAAAAGGGAGAAGGGUGCCUUUCUCUGCUCCCACUCAGCUUCCCCUCAACCUCCAGGAAACCUGAGGGCUCUGAGUAUGGCUGUUUGUGUUGAGGACCCAAAACCCCUUUUCUGGGGCCAGGCUGUGAGUCUAAGGUGAGAUGAUAACAGGGAGUUUCUGAAGCACUGCACCCCUACUCUGGGGAGCAGGAGGCCUCCUGACCGUGACCCCAGUCUCCCACCCUGCUUGGCUGCUCACCUCCCGCCUCAGCAGCAGCGCCGCUGUGCCAGCCCUGAGCCAGAGCCAAGCCCUCCUUGGACGCGGUUGCCUGGUAACCAGCCCUAAGUGACGGCAACCCCAGCGGGCCGCUAAUGAGGGGGCAGCAGCCAACCACCUGGCCAGACCCAGCCGCCUCAGCCAGCCUUAGAAAGGCUUCCACGAUAGUCCACCUGGCCUGCCCACGGCCAGUCUUGAACUCCUGGGCUCAAGUGAUCCUCCAGCCUCUGCCUUCCAAAGUGUGGGAGGAUUUCAGGCAUGAGCUACCGUGCCCAGCCUCUGAGCUGAGUCUGAAAGGCCAACAGGAAUUAGCAAGGAAAGCCAGACAAGCAGCCAAGGCAGAUGGAGAGCAUAUUCCAAAGUGUGGAGGUGUGACCUGAAAGGAACCUUGGCUGGCUGGGGAGACAAUCGGGACAAUCAGGAGACAUGCCAAAGCCAGACUGGGGAACUGGAACCUGAGGCCACCGAGGAACCACAGGAGACUCCAAGCUAGGAGUGACCGGUUACACACAGGCAUUAGAAAGCUCUCUGUGGAGGCAGGCAGGGAAUAUUUCCUGCUGCCUCCAGCACCAAGCCUCCAAUGGCUGGGCUUUGGCACAGCCAGAGUGAGACAUCACAGUCCCCCCCUCCCUGAGUCCAAGGCCCAGCAGUCCUGUUCCUGAGGCCUCUCUCCCACUGUGGCAGACCCACCUCCACACAAGCACCCAUCUCACUGGAGGCAAUGGUCUGUUUGAAGCCUGGGAGACAGCACUGGGACCCAUCUACUGCUGUACCCUCAAUGCCAGCAUAAAACCUGGAGAUCCUCAAUAUGUGACAGAAGGAAGGAUGGGAAGGAGAGAAGGAAAAUCAGCCCACCCUAGCUGUUAAUUAAAGAAUGUUCCCCUCCUCUG
This 1412-nucleotide long non-coding RNA is filed under the name Homo sapiens (human). RNAcentral's name for it is "HSALNT0382342". The record is from RNAcentral. Lineage: Eukaryota; Metazoa; Chordata; Mammalia; Primates; Hominidae.